Small nuclear RNA from Homo sapiens (human), 104 nucleotides. Lineage: Eukaryota; Metazoa; Chordata; Mammalia; Primates; Hominidae. The record is from Rfam.
UAUUGAAAUAUUAAAAAAAAAAAAGAAAAGAAACAAUACAGAGAAGAUUAGUAUGGCCCCUGUGCAAGGAUGACAUCCAAAUUCAUCAAGUGUUCCAUUAAAAU